This 323-nucleotide long non-coding RNA is filed under the name Androctonus crassicauda. The record is from RNAcentral. Lineage: Eukaryota; Metazoa; Arthropoda; Arachnida; Scorpiones; Buthidae.
GAGAAACCCUGUACUUGGAAUACCGGGAUAAAGUUCUCAUGCUCGCUAAACACAUUACUCCUAGAGUUCAUAAUCAUGUCGUCCUAUGCUGUUUCUUAAUUGUGUGUUACUGUCGCUAUAUAUUCUUGACGUGCGCCUUUCACGCUCUUUAUACUCUUCUUCUAAAAUGUACUUCCAAGCACUUGGUAAUUCUUUGGCCGUUCUACUGUUGACAAGACAGUGGUCAUGCUUUCUCAUAGUUAUUUCUAUAGUCUCCUGCAAGGUCGCCUGCGCUGCCGAAACAAUCUGUUUUAUUAUUUUGGCUUGGUUCCAAUUUAUCUCUG